GUGAGGAAUUUUCCGCAAUGGGCGAAAGCCUGACGGAGCAAUGCCGCGUGAAGGAUGAAGGCCUAUGGGUUGUAAACUUCUUUUCUCAGAAAAGAAUUAUGACGGUAUCUGAGGAAUAAGCAUCGGCUAACUCUGUGCCAGCAGCCGCGGUAAGACAGAGGAUGCAAGCGUUAUCCGGAAUGAUUGGGCGUAAAGCGUCUGUAGGUUGUUUAAAAAGUAUUCUGUCAAAGAUUAGGGCUUAACCCUAGAUAGGCAGAAUAAACUAUUAAGCUAGAGUUUGGUAGAGGAAGAGGGAAUUCCCGGUGGAGCAGUGAAAUGCGUAGAUAUCGGGAGGAACACCAAAGGCGAAGGCACUCUGCUGGGCCAAUACUAACACUGAGAGACGAAAGCGAGGGGAGCAAAUGGGAUUAGAAACCCGUGUAGUCC
Molecule: ribosomal RNA, 426 nt
Filed under: uncultured bacterium
Lineage: Bacteria
Description: bacterial SSU rRNA
Rfam family: Bacterial small subunit ribosomal RNA
Source: RNAcentral